Non-coding RNA from Prunus avium (sweet cherry), 203 nucleotides. NCBI's taxonomy places the organism in Eukaryota, Viridiplantae, Streptophyta, Magnoliopsida, Rosales, Rosaceae. The record is from RefSeq and is a predicted model, not a curated record.
AGUUCAUUUUGUCUGCUUAGCAAAUAAUCAGAUCAGAACAAUUUCAGCCCUGGUAAAAGGAUGUUCCUUGGCCCAUCACCUGAUCACUUCUAGCUCUCACAAACAAAGUACAAACAAGAACGGUUGGAGCUCUGAGGUGCAGCCAUUUUUUCCUUCCGGACGCGCAGAUCAUCCAACAGCUUCUGCGCAAAAUCCGAUCGCUU